AUGUCACAUCCUUUUCAGGGAACCAACAACCAGCUCUCACUGCUUGAAAAGAUGAAUCAACGCGUGACAGAGGAAUACAGUAACUACGGAGAUGUUGCAUCCGGUCUGCGGGUCUUUGUAGAACAGCUGAAUGAGAAAAACCAACGGUUUGACGAGUACACAACGCAGAUCGACGCGAUAGACCAGCAGGUGAGUGAGUUUGAGGCAGUGGUGUCCAUGCUUGAUAAGCAUGUCUCCAUGUUGGAAAAGAAAGUGAAGUCCGCAUAUCACAUUGCUCCUACACAAUGA
Molecule: ribosomal RNA, 288 nt
Filed under: Triticum aestivum (bread wheat)
Lineage: Eukaryota; Viridiplantae; Streptophyta; Magnoliopsida; Poales; Poaceae
Description: partial small subunit ribosomal RNA
Source: RNAcentral